This 253-nucleotide ribosomal RNA is filed under the name uncultured bacterium. RNAcentral describes it as "partial 16S ribosomal RNA". It matches the Rfam family "Bacterial small subunit ribosomal RNA", at positions 524 to 776 of the family's 1533-position model. The record is from RNAcentral.
UACGGAGGGCGCAAGCGUUAAUCGGAAUUACUGGGCGUAAAGCGCACGUAGGCGGCAAUGUAAGUCGGUCGUGAAAGCCCUCGGCUCAACCGAGGAACUGCGGUCGAUACUGCAUAGCUAGAGUAUCGGAGAGGGUGGCGGAAUUCCGGGUGUAGGAGUGAAAUCCGUAGAUAUCCGGAGGAACACCAGUGGCGAAGGCGGCCACCUGGACGAUUACUGACGCUGAGGUGCGAAAGCGUGGGGAGCAAACAGG